This 479-nucleotide ribosomal RNA is filed under the name uncultured bacterium. RNAcentral's name for it is "bacterial SSU rRNA". It matches the Rfam family "Bacterial small subunit ribosomal RNA", at positions 21 to 518 of the family's 1533-position model. The record is from RNAcentral.
GGCUCAGGACGAACGCUGGCGGCGUGCCUAACACAUGCAAGUCGAGCGAGGAGAUCCUCGGGAUGAUCCUAGCGGCGGACGGGUGAGUAACACGUGGGCAACCUGCCUCAUAGAGAGGAAUAGCCUUCCGAAAGGGAGAUUAAUACCUCAUAACACUGCAGUUUCGCAUGGAACAGCAAUUAAAGGAGCAAUCCGCUAUGAGAUGGGCCCGCGGCGCAUUAGCUAGUUGGUGAGGUAACGGCUCACCAAGGCGACGAUGCGUAGCCGACCUGAGAGGGUGAUCGGCCACAUUGGGACUGAGACACGGCCCAGACUCCUACGGGAGGCAGCAGUGGGGAAUAUUGCACAAUGGGGGAAACCCUGAUGCAAGCAACGCCGCGUGAGUGAUGACGGCCUUCGGGUUGUAAAGCUCUGUCUUCAGGGACGAUAAUGACGGUACCUGAGGAGGAAGCCACGGCUAACUACGUGCCAGCCGCAGC